GUCAACUAGAAACAAAUUUGUUAGCUCCACCCUGAGGGUGGGAAGCUGGGGCCCAAGCUUUUCUUUUCUCUUACAGCUACCUUCAUUAAUUUUUCCUCUACAGCUGAACGGACUGGCACGCAACCUGCAAUGAGGCCCUGCUCAGAAGACCUCCACCUCUGCUGGGCCUCCUGGCUCCUGGGAUUCAUCAGUCUCCUUCUCAAGCCUGUGCCCUCUCCCCAGAUUCUGGUGGGAUCAACAUCCGUCACACCAGACUGGUGCAACGUCACCCUGGAGUGCAGAGCCUCUGGGGCCACAGACGAUCUGAAUGUGACCUGGGAGAAGAAAGGCCUCCCCAAAGAAUGGGAGCAGAGAAGGACAUUAGAAGCAGCCUGCAACUCAUACAUUCUGGCUGUGAGCGUGCCGAGAGGCCAGCCCCAUGCCAUCCUCGUCUGUGUGGUCAGCAACCCGGUGGAAUAUAAAACUGCCUUCUUCGACCUUGGUGGAGUCUGCGUCCCUGGUGAGUGCAAUCUGCCAGAGGGGAGGAGCACUUUCAGAGCUCAGAUGGCACUGAGGUCUGGGGGUUCAGGGCUUUUCUUCCCACCAUUUUCUUAGCACUGCUUUCUGACCACUUCAUACAAGAGUCUAGGAAAAACAUUCAACUUACCUUUGCUUUUCAGUGUGUCUCACAUCCAUGACCUGCUCUAAACUGCUUGCCCCUGCUAGCCCAGGUAGUCAUUUUUCAGUGCUUCUCUCCACCACUAUCCAACAUCCAUUGUGCAUUCAGCAUGGUCUUCAGGAAAGUAAUCAUAAUGGGUCAUUGUGGCUUUUCUUCAAGUCUGACCUCCAUGACUUCCUGUGGGAUGUCAUGGACGGGCUCAGACGCUCCUCUGUCCACAUUUCUGACCUUAUUUAUACACUUACCACUGAAUUCCUUGUUUGUCAUUCCAGAAUGUGCCCUGCUUUUGCAAGUUUUUGCACCUCUGGACAUGUUGUUUCCUUGACCAUCAGCCCUUCUUCAUCCUGUGUCCUUGACUUCCUGUCUCAUUCUUCAUGGAGGAUUCUCCUCAGCCACUGCAGAUAUGUGGGCUGUGAAAAUGCAUUCACACAUGGCCCUGCCCUAAGAUAGGCCCCAUGAUUGGUCUAAAAAUCUGCUAAUUUGUCUAAAUUCUACUGAUGUCUUAAAAUUUUAAUAAAUUUUUAACAAGGAGUCUGCCUUUUCA
RNAcentral lists this long non-coding RNA (1202 nucleotides) under Bos indicus x Bos taurus (hybrid cattle). RNAcentral's name for it is "lncRNA (ENSBIXG00005015069.1)". Lineage: Eukaryota; Metazoa; Chordata; Mammalia; Artiodactyla; Bovidae. The record is from RNAcentral.